RNAcentral lists this ribosomal RNA (497 nucleotides) under uncultured bacterium. Its description in RNAcentral is "partial 16S ribosomal RNA". It matches the Rfam family "Bacterial small subunit ribosomal RNA", at positions 28 to 507 of the family's 1533-position model. The record is from RNAcentral.
GAUGAACGCUGGCGGCGUGCCUAAUACAUGCCAGUCGAGCGAACGGACGAGAAGCUUGCUUUUCUGAUGUUAGCGGCGGACGGGUGAGUAACACGUGGAUAACCUACCUAUAUGACUGGGAUAACUUCGGGAAACCGGAGCUAAUACCGGAGAAUAUUUUGAACCGCAUGGUUCAAAAGUGAAAGACGGUCUUGCUGUCACUUAUAGAUGGAUCCGCGUUGCAUUAGCUAGUUGGUAAGGUAACGGCUUACCAAGGCAACGAUGCAUAGCCGACCUGAGAGGGUGAUCGGCCACACUGGAACUGAGACACGGUCCAGACUCCUACGGGAGGCAGCAGUAGGGAAUCUUCCGCAAUGGGCGAAAGCCUGACGGAGCAACGCCGCGUGAGUGAUGAAGGUCUUCGGAUCGUAAAACUCUGUUAUUAGGAAAGAACAUAUGUGUAAGUAACUGUGCACAUCUUGACGGUACCUAAUCAGAAAGCCACGGCUAACUACGUG